Crotalus tigris (Tiger rattlesnake) is the source of this 705-nucleotide long non-coding RNA. RefSeq lists it as uncharacterized. The record is from RefSeq and is a predicted model, not a curated record. Lineage: Eukaryota; Metazoa; Chordata; Lepidosauria; Squamata; Viperidae. The transcript has 3 exons.
UUUGUUAGGGCUUUCUCUCUUCCCCCUCCCUCUCCCCCACCAGCUGAAACAUUUUCUUCUGGGGAGAAAAAAAAAAAAAGGAUCGAAGACGUCGGGAUGGUUGCAUUCUCCCGAGCACCGGGUGUCACACACGCGCGCACGCACGCAGGGCUGUGUUUGUUCAGCGCGUCCACACAAACAACCCCUGAAUGAAGGGGUGUGUGUGUGUGUGGAAAAGCCAAGCCAGGAUUUUCUUGGUUUCCUUCAUCCUCCCUCCUUUUUUUUUUUUUUUAAUGAAACUCCCCGGAGCUUCUUUACAUCUACUCUCCGGCCUGCAAAGUCACCCAUCAAGUACCUUCAAGGACUCAACCACCAGCCUCAAACAUGAUGAUGUCUCAGGAUGCUGAAGAUGAAAGCAAGGUUGCACACCCGCCGGCCGACAACGGUGUCCACACACCAUCUGAGAAGCUCCAUUUUCCCAUACGUCUGUCAGCACUUGGGUGAUCAAGCAAGAGCCCUCAACAGGAAUUCCAUCUGGGACAACAACACCAUAGUUACCUGUGUGGACAAGACAAUGGCAUUUUAAAGCAUGUAUUUAAAAUGUAUUGGCAGUCUUCCAAUAUCUCAGGGGCUGCCCCAAAGAAGAGGGAGUCAAGCUAUUCUCCAAAGCCCCUGAAGGCAGGACAAGAAGCAACAGAUGGAAAAUAAUCAAGGAGAGAAGCAACC